This 253-nucleotide ribosomal RNA is filed under the name uncultured bacterium. RNAcentral describes it as "partial 16S ribosomal RNA". It matches the Rfam family "Bacterial small subunit ribosomal RNA", at positions 524 to 776 of the family's 1533-position model. The record is from RNAcentral.
UACAGAGGUCUCGAGCGUUGUUCGGAUUCAUUGGGCGUAAAGGGUGCGUAGGUGGCGCUGUAAGUCGGGUGUGAAAUCCUGAGGCUUAACCUAGGAACUGCAUUCGAUACUGCGGUGCUUGAGGACUGGAGAGGAGACUGGAAUUCAUGGUGUAGCAGUGAAAUGCGUAGAGAUCAUGAGGAAGACCAGUGGCGAAGGCGGGUCUCUGGACAGUUCCUGACACUGAGGCACGAAGGCCAGGGGAGCAAACGGG